RNAcentral lists this ribosomal RNA (478 nucleotides) under uncultured bacterium. RNAcentral's name for it is "partial 16S ribosomal RNA". It matches the Rfam family "Bacterial small subunit ribosomal RNA", at positions 28 to 523 of the family's 1533-position model. The record is from RNAcentral.
GACGAACGCUGGCGGCGUGUUUCACACAUGCAAGUCGAACGGUAAGGCCCUUCGGGGUACACGAGUGGCGAACGGGUGAGUAACACGUGGGUGAUCUGCCCUGCACUUCGGGAUAUGCCUGGGAAACUGGGUCUAAUACCGGAUAGGACCACUGCCUGCAUGGGUGGUGGUGGAAAGCUUUUGCGGUGUGGGAUGGGCCCGCGGCCUAUCAGCUUGUUGGUGGGGUGAUGGCCUACCAAGGCGACGACGGGUAGCCGGCCUGAGAGGGUGACCGGCCACACUGGGACUGAGAUACGGCCCAGACUCCUACGGGAGGCAGCAGUGGGGAAUAUUGCACAAUGGGCGCAAGCCUGAUGCAGCGACGCCGCGUGAGGGAUGACGGCCUUCGGGUUGUAAACCUCUUUCAGCACCGACGAAGCGCAAGUGACGGUAGGUGCAGAAGAAGGACCGGCCAACUACGUGCCAGCCGCCGCCGUAA